GAUGAACGCUGGCGGCGUGCCUAAUACAUGCAAGUCGAGCGAACAGACGAGGAGCUUGCUCCUCUGACGUUAGCGGCGGACGGGUGAGUAACACGUGGAUAACCUACCUAUAAGACUGGGAUAACUUCGGGAAACCGGAGCUAAUACCGGAUAAUAUAUUGAACCGCAUGGUUCAAUAGUGAAAGACGGUUUUGCUGUCACUUAUAGAUGGAUCCGCGCCGCAUUAGCUAGUUGGUAAGGUAACGGCUUACCAAGGCGACGAUGCGUAGCCGACCUGAGAGGGUGAUCGGCCACCCGGGAACUGAGACACGGUCCAGACUACUACGGGAGGCAGCAGUAGGGAAUCUUCCGCAAUGGGCGAAAGCCUGACGGAGCAACGCCGCGUGAGUGAUGAAGGUCUUCGGAUCGUAAAACUCUGUUAUUAGGGAAGAACAAAUGUGUAAGUAACUAUGCACGUCUUGACGGUACCUAAUCAGAAAGCCACGGCUAACUACGUG
Molecule: ribosomal RNA, 497 nt
Filed under: uncultured bacterium
Lineage: Bacteria
Description: partial 16S ribosomal RNA
Rfam family: Bacterial small subunit ribosomal RNA
Source: RNAcentral